Pungitius pungitius (ninespine stickleback) is the source of this 455-nucleotide long non-coding RNA. RefSeq lists it as uncharacterized. The record is from RefSeq and is a predicted model, not a curated record. The transcript has 3 exons. Lineage: Eukaryota; Metazoa; Chordata; Actinopteri; Perciformes; Gasterosteidae.
UUAUAUAUAUCCCUUUUAUCGAAGUUAUCAGAAUUUUAAGAUUUGCAUUAUAUAUUUUUCACUUUACAACAAGCUUGUCUCAAGCUAACAGAGUGCUUCAUCACGCAUCCCUCCGUACACGCAUCUUUUUUGCAUAUCUGGCGCUAUUUAAGACAGAUUUUCUCCUCGUUAUGUGGCAACUAAGGGGCAGCACGUCCGGGUCUCGCUCCCCUCGUCGGGGGUUCUGCGCCAGAAGAGCCACAAAACUUGGAAGCUUCGAACCCAGAGAGACGGGGAGAAGCAGAAGAAAGUUUCUCUCAGAUCAGCCAAGGGCGAUGAGACUGCAGCAGCCCCUGCUGGUAAGUUCCUUCAUGGCGUCUAAUCUGAGCCCACAAGCUCUGCUCCGGAAAUCCAAUUUAUUUCUGAGUCACGCACACAAUAAUCAGCUUUUAUAGAGAUAAACCACAACAACCACA